This 285-nucleotide ribosomal RNA is filed under the name uncultured Verrucomicrobium sp. Its description in RNAcentral is "partial 16S ribosomal RNA". It matches the Rfam family "Bacterial small subunit ribosomal RNA", at positions 508 to 792 of the family's 1533-position model. Lineage: Bacteria; Pseudomonadati; Verrucomicrobiota; Verrucomicrobiia; Verrucomicrobiales; Verrucomicrobiaceae. The record is from RNAcentral.
CCAGCAGCCGCGGUAAUACGGAGGUCUCAAGCGUUGUUCGGAUUCAUUGGGCGUAAAGGGCGCGUAGGCUGCGGGGCAAGUCGGGUGUGAAAUCUCAGAGCUCAACUCUGAAACUGCACUCGAUACUGCUUUGCUUGAGGACUGGAGAGGAGAUUGGAAUUCACGGUGUAGCAGUGAAAUGCGUAGAUAUCUGCAGGAACACCCGUGGCGAAAGCGGCGCGCUGGACCACUACUGACGCUGAGGAACGAAAGCUAGGGGAGCAAACAGGAUUAGAUACCCUGGUA